RNAcentral lists this ribosomal RNA (776 nucleotides) under uncultured Neocallimastigales. Its description in RNAcentral is "partial large subunit ribosomal RNA". It matches the Rfam family "Eukaryotic large subunit ribosomal RNA", at positions 24 to 627 of the family's 3401-position model. The record is from RNAcentral. Lineage: Eukaryota; Fungi; Neocallimastigomycota; Neocallimastigomycetes; Neocallimastigales.
UAUCUCUGUAGAGUCUGCAUAUCAAUAAGCGGAGGAAAAGAAACUAACAAGGAUUCCCUUAGUAACGGCGAGUGAAGCGGGAAGAGCUCAAAUUUGAAAUCUUCAAGGUUUUACCUUGACGAAUUGUAGUUUAAAGAAGUGUUUUCUGUUGGAAGUUUUCGGUAAAAGUUCUUUGGAAUAGGACAUCAUAGAGGGUGAGAAUUCCCGUAUUUGACCAUUACUUCCAGCGUUGUGAUACACUUUCAAAGAGUCGGAUUGUUUGGGAAUGCAGUCCAAAAUGGGUGGUAAAUUUCAUCUAAAGCUAAAUAUUGGCGAGAGACCGAUAGCGAACAAGUACCGUGAGGAAAGAUGAAAAGAACUUUGAAAAGAGAGUUAAACAGUACGUGAAAUUGUCAAAAGGGAAGCGUUUGACACCAGUGUUGUUUUCUCGAAAAUCAAUUAAAAAAGGCAGGAUUUUGUGUUGUAUUGACUUUAUCAGCUUUCUGCACUCUUUUCUUGUCUUUUUUAAUGCACUUUUCGUUUAACAAGUCAACAUCAAUUUCUUUUGUUGUAAAAGGGUCAUUGGAAGGUGGCUUUCUUUUCGGAGAAAGUGUUUAUAGCCUUUGGCCUCUGCAAUCGGAGAGAUUGAGGUCUGCAGCGUAGAUCCUUCGGGGUUAGAUACAUUUGUGCUAAGUUAUAGCCUUUCAUAGACAACUUGUUGACUAUGAUCAGUCAUGUAGCUUACUCGCUUAUGCUAUUUUACCUACGCUUAGGAUGUUGAUAGUCACAGCGUGUAC